RNAcentral lists this ribosomal RNA (460 nucleotides) under uncultured bacterium. RNAcentral describes it as "partial 16S ribosomal RNA". It matches the Rfam family "Bacterial small subunit ribosomal RNA", at positions 338 to 795 of the family's 1533-position model. The record is from RNAcentral.
CCUACGGGAGGCAGCAGUGAGGAAUAUUGGUCAAUGGGCGCGAGCCUGAACCAGCCAAGUAGCGUGAAGGAUGACUGCCCUACGGGUUGUAAACUUCUUUUGUAAGGGAAUAAAGUGAGGCACGUGUGCCUGUUUGUAUGUUCUUUAUGAAUAAGGAUCGGCUAACUCCGUGCCAGCAGCCGCGGUAAUACGGAGGGUCCGAGGUUUAACCGGAUUUUUUGGGGUUAAAGGGGGCGUAGAUGGGUUGUUAAGUCAGUUGUGAAAGUUUGCGGCUCAAACGUAAAAUUGCAAUUGAAACUGGGAGUCUUGAGUACAGUUGAGGUAGGCGGAAUGCGUGGUGUAGCGGUGAAAUGCUUAGAUAUCACGAAGAACUCCGAUUGCGAAGGCAGCUUACUAGACUGCCACUGACAUUGAUGCUCGAAAGUGUGGGGAUCAAACAGGAUUAGAUACCCUUGUAGUC